CCAUGCCGUAAACGUUGGGCGCUAGGUGUGGGGAUGGGUUCCACCGUUUCCGUGCCGUAGCUAACGCAUUAAGCGCCCCGCCUGGGGAGUACGGCCGCAAGGCUAAAACUCAAAGGAAUUGACGGGGGCCCGCACAAGCGGCGGAGCAUGUGGAUUAAUUCGAUGCAACGCGAAGAACCUUACCUGGGUUUGACAUGCACUAGACAGCCGUAGAGAUACGGUUUCCCUUGUGGUUGGUGUACAGGUGGUGCAUGGCUGU
This 259-nucleotide ribosomal RNA is filed under the name uncultured bacterium. RNAcentral describes it as "partial 16S ribosomal RNA". It matches the Rfam family "Bacterial small subunit ribosomal RNA", at positions 795 to 1052 of the family's 1533-position model. The record is from RNAcentral.